UUGUACGAUGGAUUAAGGUCCCCAGUCGAUGACAAAACCCCAUUUUUGUUUUAUGGUUCCAGGGUGAUCAACGGUUAUGCUCGAAUGAUUGUGACAUCUGUGGGAAUGGAGACAGUGUGGGGUGAGAUGAUGAGCAAAGCAAUGGAGUCACCUGAUAAUAAGUGCAAAUUUGAAGUUUUGUUUACGAAGUUAAGUACCUGGGUAGACUUCACAGGGCUUCUAAUUUCCAUCCUUCUGCUUAUAGCCUUGUUUAUUCGCUAUGUACUAGGAGAAAGAGAUGAUGAAGACGGUGAUGGGCCCCAGACCAGGGGAGAACCCACUCCUCUGAAAAUCAUAUUAGAUGCUAUCAAGGUUAUUAUGAGAGGAUCAAAGGGGACGAUGAGAGUUUUGACAACUUUACUGAGUGUGUCACUCGUGGGGAUAAUGGAAGGUGUACCUGUUGUGAUUUCAAUUGCAAUCACAUACUGGAGCCGGCAGACACUAGCACAUCAGGGCUUAGAGAGAGACCCUCUAGCUUG
Molecule: long non-coding RNA, 518 nt
Filed under: Olea europaea (common olive)
Lineage: Eukaryota; Viridiplantae; Streptophyta; Magnoliopsida; Lamiales; Oleaceae
Description: long non-coding RNA (OEUR_LNC002715)
Source: RNAcentral